UGAGUUAUUCUAUUAGUUAGAGUUAUCUUUUACAUUGAUAAUUUAGUUGUGCAAAUCAUCUUAACUUGA
This 69-nucleotide transfer RNA is filed under the name Allacta hainanensis. RNAcentral's name for it is "tRNA-Val". The record is from RNAcentral. Lineage: Eukaryota; Metazoa; Arthropoda; Insecta; Blattodea; Pseudophyllodromiidae.